GACGAACGCUGGCGGCGUGCCUAAUACAUGCAAGUAGAACGCACAGUUUAUACCGUAGCUUGCUACACCAUAAACUGUGAGUUGCGAACGGGUGAGUAACGCGUAGGUAACCUGCCUGGUAGCGGGGGAUAACUAUUGGAAACGAUAGCUAAUACCGCAUAAUAUUAAUUAUUGCAUGAUAAUUGAUUGAAAGAUGCAAUUGCAUCACUACCAGAUGGACCUGCGUUGUAUUAGCUAGUAGGUGAGGUAACGGCUCACCUAGGCGACGAUACAUAGCCGACCGGAGAGGGGGAUCGGCCACACUGGGACUGAGACACGGCCCAGACUCCUACGGGAGGCAGCAGUAGGGAAUCGUCGGAAAUGGACGAAAGUCGGACCGAGCAACGCCGCGGGAGGGAAGAAGGGUGUCGGAUCGUAAAGCUCGGCUGUAAGAGAAGAACGGGUGUGAGAGUGGAAAGUUCACACUGUGACGGUAUCUUACCAGAAAGGGACGGCUAACUACGUG
This 505-nucleotide ribosomal RNA is filed under the name uncultured bacterium. RNAcentral describes it as "partial 16S ribosomal RNA". It matches the Rfam family "Bacterial small subunit ribosomal RNA", at positions 28 to 507 of the family's 1533-position model. The record is from RNAcentral.